RNAcentral lists this ribosomal RNA (457 nucleotides) under uncultured bacterium. RNAcentral describes it as "partial 16S ribosomal RNA". It matches the Rfam family "Bacterial small subunit ribosomal RNA", at positions 338 to 795 of the family's 1533-position model. The record is from RNAcentral.
CCUACGGGGUGCAGCAGUGGGGAAUAUUGCACAAUGGGGGAAACCCUGAUGCAGCGACGCCGCGUGAGUGAAGAAGUAUUUCGGUAUGUAAAGCUCUAUCAGCAGGGAAGAAACCCACCCUCCGGGGUGGCUGACGGUACCUGCCUAAGAAGCCCCGGCUAACUACGUGCCAGCAGCCGCGGUAAUACGUAGGGGGCAAGCGUUAUCCGGAUUUACGGGGUGUAAAGGGAGCGUAGGUGGCAAGGCAAGUCAGAUGUGAAAACCCGGGGCCCAACCCCGGGAGUGCAUUUGAAACUGGCUGGCUAGAGUGCAGGAGAGGUAAGUGGAAUUCCUAGUGUAGCGGUGAAAUGCAUAGAUAUUAGGAGGAACACCAGUGGCGAAGGCGGCUUACUGGACUGUAACUGACACUGAGGCCCGAAAGCGUGGGGAGCAAACAGGAUUAGAUACCCCUGUAGUC